UACGUAGGGGGCUAGCGUUGUCCGGAAUCAUUGGGCGUAAAGAGCGUGUAGGCGGCCCGGUAAGUCCGCUGUAAAAGUCAAAGGCUCAACCUUUGAAUGUCAGUGGAUACUGCCGGGCUAGAGUCCGGAAGAGGCGAGUGGAAUUCCUGGUGUAGCGGUGGAAUGCGCAGAUAUCAGGAGGAACACCAACGGCGAAGGCAGCUCGCUGGGACGGUACUGACGCUGAGGCGCGAAAGCGUGGGGAGCGAACAGG
RNAcentral lists this ribosomal RNA (253 nucleotides) under uncultured bacterium. RNAcentral describes it as "partial 16S ribosomal RNA". It matches the Rfam family "Bacterial small subunit ribosomal RNA", at positions 524 to 776 of the family's 1533-position model. The record is from RNAcentral.